This 496-nucleotide long non-coding RNA is filed under the name Helianthus annuus (common sunflower). The record is from RNAcentral. Lineage: Eukaryota; Viridiplantae; Streptophyta; Magnoliopsida; Asterales; Asteraceae.
GUGUAGAGCUCAAUAUUCAAAUUUCCAUUUGUUUUGAACAACACUCCAUGGCCUGCGGUUCCCUUGAGAUACCUUAAAAUUCUAUGAGCUGCUUCCAUGUGGGCAACUUGUGGUUGAUGCAUGAACUGUCUAACCACUCCAACAGCAUAAGCUAUAUAUCAGGGCGAGUGUGAGAGAGAUAAAUCAAUUUGCCCAUGAGCCGUUGAUACCUUUCUUUGUCUGCAAGCUCUCCAUUAAGUUCCAUAUGCAGGUGGUUGUGGUUCAUCAUCAUUGGAGUUUGCAUUAUGUGUCUAUCGCCUCCGUCAAUCAAAACCGUAGCAGAAACCGAAGAAUUCUAGGCUUUAUGAUGUAAUAUGUAGUUAAAAGGGCAAGGUGGCAAACUUGUAAAUAAGGAGAAAUCCUUAUAACCUUAUGCCUAUAAAUAGGGAGCUAUAGUGUUAGAUUUAAGACUUUUGCUCAUUUGACAUUUAGAAGAUCUAAUCUUAGAGAGAGAAAG